Long non-coding RNA from Beta vulgaris subsp. vulgaris (sugar beet), 1946 nucleotides. RefSeq lists it as uncharacterized. The record is from RefSeq and is a predicted model, not a curated record. Lineage: Eukaryota; Viridiplantae; Streptophyta; Magnoliopsida; Caryophyllales; Amaranthaceae. The transcript is spliced from 2 exons.
ACUCCUAAUAUAUAUACCUCAGCCAUCCUCUCUCUUCUCUCCUCCCCUCCUUCAAAGCCCACCAACCUCCAUUAAACCCACCAUCUCAUCUCCUCUAACUUCAUCGACAUUAAACCACCAAAAUUACUACCUACCACAACUGCCACAACCACCUAACACAACGCCACCAAUGGCAACUUCACCAUAAUCGAUCUCCUUCUUUCUCUAUCCUUCGUUCUCCUUCUUUCUAUCUACCACAAUCUCGUUCUUUCUCUAUCCUGCGAGCUCCUUCAUUCUCCUUCUUUCUUUCUCUGUCGAUCUCCUUUUUUCACUCUCCUUCAUUCUCCUUGUUUCUCUCUCCUUCAAUCUCCUUUUAUCUCUCCUGCGAUCUUCGCACGACAUCUAUGUGUUCUCCUUAUUUUGUGAAUUUUGGUGAAUUUUUAUGAUUGUUGUAGAUAUAUUUUUUUUUUAGGGUUGGAUCUAUCUCCCUAUACUCAUUGAUGGUGAGUUGUGGUUGAAGAAUCUUUGAAUGAAUAUUCUGAGUAUUUUUGGUCACCUAGAAGAUGAAGAUGGAGAAGCAGAAGAUCUUAGUGAAUUUUCGUAAAAUUUUGAUCAUAUAGAAGCAUUAGGUAGAAGGAUUUUGGUGAAAUUUUGUGGAUUUUGAUAGAAGGAUUCAAAGAAAUGGAAGAUGGAUAGCUGGGUGGUUGUAAUGGUGGUUUUGAUGGUGGUGGCGGGGUGGUCGUGGCGGUGGUGUUGGCAAGAUGGGGGAUGGUUGUAAACUUUUGUGCUAGGAGAGGAGAAGCCAACCGAGUUUAGCAAGAAACACUUGGUUCAGGGGAGAGGUCUUGCAUAGACCGAGACCCUCUUGGCUUUUAGGUUGGCAUAUUUUGUCCCGGCUUAUUAAGGAAAUGUUGUUUUUAUCUUUAUUUUGUCUCCAAAAAGACAGUCUAUGAUGCGUAUCUAUUUUCUGACAAAUGUUAGAGGGGAGAAGGGAAAAUUAGCAGGAGUAGGCUGGCAGAGCUUCGAGAUUUGGUUGGAUAAAAGUAAAUCGUCCGGCUUUGGAGAGGACCAGCUUCCCAUUGUUUUAUGCGUUCUUCUGUUUUUUGAAGGAUGUGAUUGGUGGGUAGUGCAAGGCUCUUGGUUUUCUAUGACAAAGAAGCAUCUAGGAAACCUGGUGAAUAGAGCUAAUGAUCUUGGAGUUGGUCGUGAGGUUUAUGCCUGUAAUACUCCGUAUCUUUAGUAAGUUAAUAUUUAUAUCUUUAGAAAAGUUUUGGUUGUUAAAAAGACUUUUUAUAUAUUUAAAAGGUUUUUAAAAUAGUGUUGUAUUCACUAUUUUGAUGAUGACAAAUAUUUAUUAUCUUCGUUUAAUUUAGUUUCUUUUAUUUAGUUUGUUUUAUUAGAUUUAUUUAUUUAAUUUUAUUUGUAGGGUAAUUUAGGUUUAUUAUUUUAUCUCACAAAUAGAGUAAUAACUUGUGGAGAAUUGAUUAUGAGCUUAAUCAAAAAUUAAGUUAUUUAACUUAUCUGUGUUUUGACUGAUAUUUACAUGAUUACAUUAUGGACUUUAAUUUGUGAAAAUAUUAGAAACCAUAAUAUUCUUGGAAGUUAGUUAUGUAUGCGCAGGAGAAGAAAUAACAAACUGAUUUGAUGCUGCUAACUUCCAGCGCCUAAAAAGGAGGGUUGUUGAAGUAGUUCCUAGAUUUUAGGAACCACAACAACCCACAACAACCUACCUAUCUCUGAGGCGUGCGAUCAUGGCUGAAGAUGUGGAACCAUAACAAGCACAACUUCUAACGGACUUCUAACGGCUAUAAAGUGGAUGAAGUGAAGCUAAAUUUUAGCUCCCACUAUGUACGUGUAAAGAAGAUCAUGGGGCAAUCUAUUAUCUACAUAUAGUUGUGUUUUAACGAACUAAAAUAUUACGCUUUCAGUUUUUCAUGUAAUAAUUCAAAGAAAGUAUAUUCGUUUUC